GGUCAAGUGAAGAAGCGCAUACGGUGGAUGCCUUGGCAGUCAGAGGCGAUGAAAGACGUGGUAGCCUGCGAAAAGCUUCGGGGAGUCGGCAAACAGACUGUGAUCCGGAGAUGUCUGAAUGGGGGAACCCAGCCAUCACAAGAUGGUUAUCUUACACUGAAUACAUAGGUGUAAGAGGCGAACCAGGGGAACUGAAACAUCUAAGUACCCUGAGGAAAAGAAAUCAACCGAGAUUCCCUUAGUAGUGGCGAGCGAACGGGGACCAGCCCUUAAGUUGUAUUGAGAUUAGCGGAACGCUCUGGAAAGUGCGGCCAUAGUGGGUGAUAGCCCUGUACGCGAAAAUCCCUUUGCAAUGAAAUCGAGUAGGACGGGGCACGAGAAACCUUGUCUGAAUAUGGGGGGACCAUCCUCCAAGGCUAAAUACUACUGACUGACCGAUAGUGAACCAGUACCGUGAGGGAAAGGCGAAAAGAACCGCGGAGAGCGGAGUGAAAUAGAUCCUGAAACCGUAUGCGUACAAGCAGUGGGAGCCCACUUUGUUGGGUGACUGCGUACCUUUUGUAUAAUGGGUCAGCGACUUAUUUUCAGUGGCGAGCUUAACCGAAUAGGGGAGGCGUAGCGAAAGCGAGUCUUAAUAGGGCGUCUAGUCGCUGGGAAUAGACCCGAAACCGGGCGAUCUAUCCAUGGGCAGGUUGAAGGUUGGGUAACACUAACUGGAGGACCGAACCGACUACCGUUGAAAAGUUAGCGGAUGACCUGUGGAUCGGAGUGAAAGGCUAAUCAAGCUCGGAGAUAGCUGGUUCUCCUCGAAAGCUAUUUAGGUAGCGCCUCAUGUAUCACUGUAGGGGGUAGAGCACUGUUUCGGCUAGGGGGUCAUCCCGACUUACCAAACCGAUGCAAACUCCGAAUACCUACAAGUGCCGAGCAUGGGAGACACACGGCGGGUGCUAACGUCCGUCGUGAAAAGGGAAACAACCCAGACCGUCAGCUAAGGUCCCAAAGUCAUGGUUAAGUGGGAAACGAUGUGGGAAGGCUUAGACAGCUAGGAGGUUGGCUUAGAAGCAGCCACCCUUUAAAGAAAGCGUAAUAGCUCACUAGUCGAGUCGGCCUGCGCGGAAGAUGUAACGGGGCUCAAACCAUGCACCGAAGCUACGGGUAUCACCUUUGGUGAUGCGGUAGAGGAGCGUUCUGUAAGCCUGUGAAGGUGAGUUGAGAAGCUUGCUGGAGGUAUCAGAAGUGCGAAUGCUGACAUGAGUAACGACAAUGGGUGUGAAAAACACCCACGCCGAAAGACCAAGGUUUCCUGCGCAACGUUAAUCGACGCAGGGUUAGUCGGUCCCUAAGGCGAGGCUGAAAAGCGUAGUCGAUGGAAAACAGGUUAAUAUUCCUGUACUUCUGGUUAUUGCGAUGGAGGGACGGAGAAGGCUAGGCCAGCCUGGCGUUGGUAGUCCAGGUUUAAGGUGGUAGGCUGAGAUCUUAGGUAAAUCCGGGAUCUUAAGGCCGAGAGCUGAUGACGAGUGUUCUUUUAGAACAUGAAGUGGUUGAUGCCAUGCUUCCAAGAAAAGCUUCUAAGCUUCAGGUAACCAGGAACCGUACCCCAAACCGACACAGGUGGUUGGGUAGAGAAUACCAAGGCGCUUGAGAGAACUCGGGUGAAGGAACUAGGCAAAAUGGCACCGUAACUUCGGGAGAAGGUGCGCCGGUGAGGGUGAAGCAUUUACUGCGUAAGCCCACGCCGGUCGAAGAUACCAGGCCGCUGCGACUGUUUAUUAAAAACACAGCACUCUGCAAACACGAAAGUGGACGUAUAGGGUGUGACGCCUGCCCGGUGCCGGAAGGUUAAUUGAUGGGGUUAGCGCAAGCGAAGCUCUUGAUCGAAGCCCCGGUAAACGGCGGCCGUAACUAUAACGGUCCUAAGGUAGCGAUAUUCCUUGUCGGGUAAGUUCCGACCUGCACGAAUGGCGUAACGAUGGCGGCGCUGUCUCCACCCGAGACUCAGUGAAAUUGAAAUCGCUGUGAAGAUGCAGUGUAUCCGCGGCUAGACGGAAAGACCCCGUGAACCUUUACUAUAGCUUUGCACUGGACUUUGAAUUUGCUUGUGUAGGAUAGGUGGGAGGCUUUGAAGCGUGGACGCCAGUCUGCGUGGAGCCAACCUUGAAAUACCACCCUGGCAACUUUGAGGUUCUAACUCAGGUCCGUUAUCCGGAUCGAGGACAGUGUAUGGUGGGUAGUUUGACUGGGGCGGUCUCCUCCUAAAGAGUAACGGAGGAGUACGAAGGUGCGCUCAGACCGGUCGGAAAUCGGUCGUAGAGUAUAAAGGCAAAAGCGCGCUUGACUGCGAGACAGACACGUCGAGCAGGUACGAAAGUAGGUCUUAGUGAUCCGGUGGUUCUGUAUGGAAGGGCCAUCGCUCAACGGAUAAAAGGUACUCCGGGGAUAACAGGCUGAUACCGCCCAAGAGUUCAUAUCGACGGCGGUGUUUGGCACCUCGAUGUCGGCUCAUCACAUCCUGGGGCUGAAGCCGGUCCCAAGGGUAUGGCUGUUCGCCAUUUAAAGUGGUACGCGAGCUGGGUUUAGAACGUCGUGAGACAGUUCGGUCCCUAUCUGCCGUGGACGUUUGAGAUUUGAGAGGGGCUGCUCCUAGUACGAGAGGACCGGAGUGGACGAACCUCUGGUGUUCCGGUUGUCACGCCAGUGGCAUUGCCGGGUAGCUAUGUUCGGAAAAGAUAACCGCUGAAAGCAUCUAAGCGGGAAACUUGCCUCAAGAUGAGAUCUCACUGGAACCUAGAGUUCCCUGAAGGGCCGUCGAAGACUACGACGUUGAUAGGUUGGGUGUGUAAGCGCUGUGAGGCGUUGAGCUAACCAAUACUAAUUGCCCGUGAGGCUUGACCAU
Molecule: ribosomal RNA, 2893 nt
Filed under: Pseudomonas syringae pv. actinidiae
Lineage: Bacteria; Pseudomonadati; Pseudomonadota; Gammaproteobacteria; Pseudomonadales; Pseudomonadaceae
Description: 23S ribosomal RNA
Rfam family: Bacterial large subunit ribosomal RNA
Source: RNAcentral